RNAcentral lists this ribosomal RNA (171 nucleotides) under uncultured bacterium. Its description in RNAcentral is "partial 16S ribosomal RNA". The record is from RNAcentral.
CACGCCCUAAACUUUGUACACUAGGUUUCGGAGGAUUCGACCCCUUCGGAGCUCAAGCUAACGCGUUAAGUGUACCGCCUGAGGANGCAACGCGAAAAACCUUACCUGGCCUUGACAUGGAUUGGACCGGGUGUGAAAGCAUCCUUCUCUUCGGAGCCGAUUCACAGGUGC